UACGGAGGGUGCUAGCGUUGUUCGGAAUCACUGGGCGUAAAGCGCGUGUAGGCGGCCCAUCAAGUCUGAUGUGAAAGCCCGGGGCUCACCCCCGGAAGUGCAUUGGAAACUGUUGGGCUCGAGUCCCGGAGAGGAGGGUGGAAUUCCUGGUGUAGCGGUGAAAUGCGUAGAUAUCAGGAGGAACACCGGUGGCGAAGGCGGCCCUCUGGACGGUGACUGACGCUGAGACGCGAAAGCUAGGGGAGCAAACGGG
RNAcentral lists this ribosomal RNA (253 nucleotides) under uncultured bacterium. Its description in RNAcentral is "partial 16S ribosomal RNA". It matches the Rfam family "Bacterial small subunit ribosomal RNA", at positions 524 to 776 of the family's 1533-position model. The record is from RNAcentral.